CAGUAGCCACGGUAAUACGUAGGUGGCAAGCGUUAUCCGGAAUUAUUGGGCGUAAAGCGCGCGUAGGCGGUUUCUUAAGUCUGAUGUGAAAGCCCACGGCUCAACCGUGGAGGGUCAUUGGAAACUGGGAAACUUGAGUGCAGAAGAGGAAAGUGGAAUUCCAUGUGUAGCGGUGAAAUGCGCAGAGAUAUGGAGGAACACCAGUGGCGAAGGCGACUUUCUGGUCUGUAACUGACGCUGAUGUGCGAAAGCGUGGGGAUCAAACAGGAUUAGAUACCCCGGUAGUCCCUGUCUCUUAUAC
RNAcentral lists this ribosomal RNA (301 nucleotides) under uncultured bacterium. RNAcentral's name for it is "partial 16S ribosomal RNA". It matches the Rfam family "Bacterial small subunit ribosomal RNA", at positions 509 to 807 of the family's 1533-position model. The record is from RNAcentral.